AGAGUUUGAUCCUGGCUCAGAACGAACGCUGGCGGCAGGCUUAACACAUGCAAGUCGAACGCCCCGCAAGGGGAGUGGCAGACGGGUGAGUAACGCGUGGGAAUCUACCGUGCCCUGCGGAAUAGCUCCGGGAAACUGGAAUUAAUACCGCAUACGCCCUACGGGGGAAAGAUUUAUCGGGGUAUGAUGAGCCCGCGUUGGAUUAGCUAGUUGGUGGGGUAAAGGCCUACCAAGGCGACGAUCCAUAGCUGGUCUGAGAGGAUGAUCAGCCACAUUGGGACUGAGACACGGCCCAAACUCCUACGGGAGGCAGCAGUGGGGAAUAUUGGACAAUGGGCGCAAGCCUGAUCCAGCCAUGCCGCGUGAGUGAUGAAGGCCUUAGGGUUGUAAAGCUCUUUCACCGGAGAAGAUAAUGACG
This 418-nucleotide ribosomal RNA is filed under the name Agrobacterium tumefaciens. Its description in RNAcentral is "bacterial SSU rRNA". It matches the Rfam family "Bacterial small subunit ribosomal RNA", at positions 8 to 456 of the family's 1533-position model. Lineage: Bacteria; Pseudomonadati; Pseudomonadota; Alphaproteobacteria; Hyphomicrobiales; Rhizobiaceae. The record is from RNAcentral.